Molecule: ribosomal RNA, 254 nt
Filed under: uncultured bacterium
Lineage: Bacteria
Description: partial 16S ribosomal RNA
Rfam family: Bacterial small subunit ribosomal RNA
Source: RNAcentral
UACGUAGGUGGCAAGCGUUGUCCGGAUUUACUGGGCGUAAAGAGCGCGCAGGCGGUCGAUCAAGUCGCGUGUGAAAGCCCCCGGCUCAACUGGGGAGGGUCACGCGAUACUGACCGACUCGAAGGCAGGAGAGGGUAGUGGAAUUCCCGGUGUAGUGGUGAAAUGCGUAGAUAUCGGGAGGAACACCAGUGGGGAAGGCGAGUUCCUGGGCUGUUUCUUGACGCUGAGGCGCGAAAGCUAGGGGAGCAAACGGG